Long non-coding RNA from Physeter macrocephalus (sperm whale), 2619 nucleotides. RefSeq lists it as uncharacterized. The transcript has 3 exons. Lineage: Eukaryota; Metazoa; Chordata; Mammalia; Artiodactyla; Physeteridae. The record is from RefSeq and is a predicted model, not a curated record.
AUUUUAGAAAUGGAGAAAACAAGACUCGGAAGCUAAAUGACUAGUCCAGGACGAUACAGAUAAGGAAACUGAGGCCCAGAGAGGCAGAGCCUUGACAUAUAUUUAGCCUGAUAACCACUGAGAAAGGGAAAGACAGCCUACAUUCAAUUCGGAAAAUGAUUGGAUCAGAGGUUCGAUGAUACGUUUUCAGCGAGUAGCCGAUCAAGAGGAUGGUGAUCGAAAUAUCUGUGACAGUAUCAGCAAGGAGCCAGUCCCUUGCUGGUUCACUAAAGCCAUAAUCCCAGUAACGACGAUUUCUUCUUGUAACAAAGAAGACGGUAAAAUCAAAGGGGAAAUAUUCAAAGUGGAAUGAAAGGAAUUGGCACUAGAAAAGACGAUGUGGUGACUGGAGAAAAACAGGAAAAGAUUUUAGAAGUUCUCCAUUGUGGGGGGACUCUACAAUCACUGGCUUUGUCUCUUAUCCAGUUUCCUUCCCUAUUGUACUAACCCUGUGCUUCCUGGAUGUCUGCUGGAAACCAGCAGAAAGAGGAAAGGUUUCCACAUGCUAAUAUGUAAAUCCAAGCAGCCUGUGGAGCAACCAGUGACUCAGUAAUGCUCAAAAGCAAGGUCAGAGGCAAAGCAAACCUUGCCUUCCCCCAGAUGCUUGGUGACUGUGUUCUAGUAAUCCACCCUGAAAGUUAGUACCUGAGGGCAAGUAUGCGGCAGAGAACAGCUGGCACAGAAACACCUCAGUUCGUGCAGCGGAAAAGACAGAGGGUCAGAAGUUCUAAAUCUUGGACACCACUCUACCAGCAACGAGCUCUGAUUUUGGACAGGUUCUUCAUCCUCUCCCUUUAUAGAAUGAAGACGUUGAACACGACUAAGCUCCCUUGCCCAUCUUCCCUUGCCCAUCUCUCCCCCCAACUCUACCUAGCACAGCCCUAACCCUCAAUCAACCCAACUCUUCUAAUCUUUGUGUCGCCGCCCCCAGGCAGCUGAGAAGCACACGAGAAAGUGCCGCAAUUGAGAAGGUGGCUGCCACCCCAGAUCCAGAGCGAGCAGCCUCCACCUUCAUGCAGCAAAGGUCCUCCCUCAGUUUAGAGAGAAUAGAGAACCCCUCGGGUCCCUGCCUUCUGCCUGCUCUGCAGACUCACUGCGGCCACAAGUGAUCUCCUCUUCCCAUCUCAGUAGAAGAGGGAUCUUUCCCUGGACGAUGCUCCACUGAUUAGCAUUUCUAUGAGAUAUAACUUUCUUCCAUUUUACUGAGGAUUUCUUCAGCAUAAAAUGCUUAAAUAAUCUAUUAUUAUUAUUAUUAUUAUUUUGCGGUAGUACGCGGGCCUCUCACUGUCGUGGCCUCUCCCGUUGCGGAGCUCAGGCUCCGGACGCGCAGGCUCAGCGGCCAUGGCUCACGGGCCCAGCCGCUCCGCGGCAUGUGGGAUCUUCCCGGAUCGGGGCACGAACCCGUGUCCCCUGCAUCGGCAGGCGGACUCUCCGCCACUGCGCCACCAGGGAAGCCCCUAUAAUCUAUUAUUUUUUAAAAACCCUCCCUUGUGUGUCCUGAGGGCCGUUUCCUUUCUUGAGUUAAGCUCUUUGAAAGGGUGGUCUGUGACAGUCAUGCCCACUUUAUUUCAAUUCCCUCCUUCAUUCACUUUUACCCGGCUUCUGCCCCGGCCGCCCCAAGUGAACACCCCUCUCCAAAUUAUCACCUGCCUUAUUGCUAAAGCCAGAGGACAUGUUCUAGUCUUCAUGCCUAAUAGCACUUGCACUGAAAUGUCCUCUCCCUUGGCUUUUAUAAUCUCCCUCUCUCUCUGUCUCUCUCGUUCUCACUCUCUCUGACUUAAAUGUUGAUCUCCCCGAUGGUAGUGUCUCAGGCUCUUCUUCCCUGGUUGGAUAAAUUUACCAACUUUCUAGAUUUCAUUUUUCCAAAACUGAACUAGUCAUCCUGCUCUCUAAACCCUCUAUGUCCUUCUCAACUUGAGGGACCAGAAGUCACUUUAUCACCAAUAUCAGAAACCUUAACCCCAUUCUUGAAUUCACCAUUUCUUUCACCUUCAUUAUAACUGGUCAUUGCAUCAUAUCAGUUCCCCCUCUGUAAUGUCACACUCGUUAUCAGGCAGAUCUGAUCUGGUCAUCACCACCAACCACCUCUGAGACACCUCACUGAAAAUUUUUAGAGGUUCCAGAGCACCGACAAGAUACCAGUGCAGCUCUUCACCAUGGACCUCAAAGCCUUCUGAAAGCCAUCCCUUACAUACUGCACUGAUCUCACCUCCAGCCACUCUCCGCUGUUGCGCUCUGUAUUUUUGUCAGAACAAGUGCCUGUGGUCUCCAGAAUAUCUCAUGCGGGUACUCACCCAGGGACUUUGCACAUACUUCUCCUUCUGCUAAAUUCUCUUACUACUCUGCUCCCCAUGUCAGCUGACUCGAGUCUACACAUGCUUCAGACUCAGCUCCGGUGUCUUCUCCACAAAAAGUCUUUCUCGGUGGCCCAGUCUUUGGUGGUCUAGCCCACUAUCUGGAAUAUAGCAAAACUUUUCAAUGUUUUUGAAAGUUCAAUGAUCUGCUUCAAUGAUUUUCUCUUUUAUUUUAUUUUUUAAAAUUUUAUUUAUUAUUAUUUGGGGGGGGGCUGCAUUGGGUCUU